CUCGGGCAGUGAUGGCACUGGGAAUCCUGCAGCCAUGAGCACUGCCUGCGCAGGGCAGGGACGCAGGAGGGGGGCACAGGGCAUGGAUCUCAUGGAGCUUUCUGCUUUUUUCCCCGCUUCUCAGUGCGUGUUCAAGAGUGGGAGCAUGGGAGGAAGGCGAGUGCUGCUGCGCAUCGAGGAUCAGUGCUACCAUCAACCAUUUGGUCAUGGGAGAAGAGAAAAUACAUGAAAGAAAAAAGCCAGAACACAGGAGCCGUUCUGCUGAACCACUCACUGAGGAAACUGGAACACCUCGUACCACGCUGAUUCUGUUGGCGAUGCUGAAGUGAGACGCUACCAACAACGAUGAAUUCCUACAGCUGAGCACAACCUGUACUUACCCGUCCCACCUCCUGCAGCACGGAUUUUGGCUCUGAUGGCAGCAGGAGGUGACUUGGGGGGCAGGGCAGUGGAGAUCCCUUCCCUGCAUCACUGCUGAAGAACGCCAGCAGCACUUCUGUGUGCUGAGCACAGCUCGUCUCCAGCACUGACAAACACCGGGCCAUUACCAGCCGUCCUGUCGCUGACAUGGCAGGCACUUCUUCAUUCUUUAAGGUGUGGAUUUCUGCCUAGACCUGCUGUACCUGUUCAGGUGCUGAAGUACCAUUAUCUAAUGAUAUACCACGGGCUGUUUGCAGUGUUUUAUUUGUUUUUGUUUUAAUUUGAAGUUAUGGAGAGCUGCCCUUUGAACUGUCCUCACCCUCCUGUCGAUUUGUGCAUUGAAGGGAAUUUCAGCUCUGGGCCACGUGGCACCAAGAGAACACCUGCAAUUAAUAACACUGCGUUCAGAAACCUGCACAGAGCAACAAGCACUUGGAUGGCUCGUGUUCUAACCCCCCACCUUCCCACAGGAUGCAAUGACAAUUACUGUGAAUGCCUCACAAGUGGCUGCAACAUGUGCUAAACCAACCGGCUGCUGGCAGGUGCUCUUCCUUGCUCUGAACAUUGUGUGAAAAUGCUAAAAGCCCCACCUAUUCUUCAGAGGAAAACCUCACUCACUUACACUCUCACUCAAUUGCCUCCAUGGCAACUGCACACAAGUGGGCACAGCUCACAGGUGCUUCCCGGUGCGGUGCCAGAUAGCCAGCAGCACUGGCACAAGUGGGAGCGUUUGCAUUUAGCCGUGUGCUGCAUCCCACUAUGCUGACAGCUGCUAUUUGCUCAAGCUGUUUUCCUUCAUGAGGGUUCCCCUGUUGCAGAUUGAUGAAUUGGAAGCCUUUUCUUCGAUGACAUUCAAGUUAAAUUCCUCUUUAGUAUCAGUCCAUCACAGGGAAGCACCAAAUGCUGCCUCACACGGCUCUUACAGUGAAACCUACCAAUGAAACUUUGUCCUGAGCAAUGGAGAAAUGGUUUCCAGAUGCAAAAACAGUAACUGAAUCACCAAUUGCCACUCAAGUUUUGUUACAUGGUUACCGAUCAGCUAUCAAAGGGCCUUACUUCCUGAGAAACAACUCCAGCAGUCUGCAGAUACAGAGAAAACUGUAUCUGAACAGUUCAGAAAUGUUUGCUACCCCUAAAAAUGAUGUUUCAGAACACCUUGUAAUAAAUCAAAAAACCUUUA
Long non-coding RNA from Tympanuchus pallidicinctus (lesser prairie-chicken), 1600 nucleotides. RefSeq lists it as uncharacterized. The record is from RefSeq and is a predicted model, not a curated record. The transcript has 2 exons. NCBI's taxonomy places the organism in Eukaryota, Metazoa, Chordata, Aves, Galliformes, Phasianidae.